GCCAUACCUACAAUUUGAAAUUUUAUUAGUUAUUAAAGCAAGAAACAGGGCCAUUUAACAAGAAUAGUACACUCAUAAAUAAAAGAGAGCCAUUACUCAGGACAGUUCUAGAUGCCAUGCUAAAAUUAAGAGAUCAGAAUAUGUGCAUCUCAUAUUGCCCUAUAUAUAAAAAAAUUUUCUAUGGUACAUGACAGUUCAAUGGUGUGCAACUGUGCAUCAGGAUUGGCACUAAAUAGACAAAGCAAUGACAAUCACAAGUUUAAAUGAUUAUAAGAUUAUAACAUAUUAUUAUCACCGUCAUCUUGUUGCCAAAGGUU
RNAcentral lists this unclassified non-coding RNA (317 nucleotides) under Hevea brasiliensis (rubber tree). The record is from RNAcentral. Lineage: Eukaryota; Viridiplantae; Streptophyta; Magnoliopsida; Malpighiales; Euphorbiaceae.